This is a long non-coding RNA of Amphiprion ocellaris (clown anemonefish), 2202 nucleotides long. RefSeq lists it as uncharacterized. NCBI's taxonomy places the organism in Eukaryota, Metazoa, Chordata, Actinopteri, Pomacentridae. The transcript is spliced from 3 exons. The record is from RefSeq and is a predicted model, not a curated record.
CGAACUUCCUGUUUCUUUGUCUAAACAACGUUGUGCUCACGCAUCGUCGGAGAAACGCUCUGAACAGCGACGUGUGUGUGUAUGUCGAGCUGGAGAGCAUGCUAGCUGAUGGCCAACACUUAAAUUAGCGCCCUUGGAACGGCGGAAUGAGUUUUCACGGUGCUUACGGUACACGGUGCUGGUCGAGAGUGAGAAUAAAUCAACACCCGUUUGAAACUCUGCGUCUUGCUGAAUGAAUCCAAGGGGCCGCUACAAAAAGUAUCUAGGACUUUGAAUGUAAGACUUUUUCACAUUGGUGAUUGAUGCUUUUGAUUAAGUAAAGAACCUGAAUCUACCACGACUGAAAAUGUUUAAUUUUAUCAGUGUGUGGUAUGGCUAUCUCACACAGCUAGAAAACUAAAGUCUGCAUUUAUUUUCCCAUGUUUUGAAAAUUCUCUUAUGACAGCAUUGUGAAUAACAAAAGAAUCCCUGAUUAAAAUCUAAUUGUCUGAUGUCUUUUUGCUACUUAAAUGCAUGACCUGCAAGACAACUUAAAUUAUAUGUGGGAAUGUUCACCGUGUAACAUCUGCUGUGUUCACGCUGCCCUGUUUUUGUUUAUAAAAGCUCUGCUCUCACUGUUCACACUAAAUUGAGCUCGUAUAUUUUGAUUUUUAUGUGGGCAUUAUUUCUUUCUGUGUGUUGCGGCUCCCUGCUGGUAUCUGAGAGGCUGGAAACUCCAUUAGUAGGGGCCCCUGAUGAAAACCCAUUAAUGGCUGUGCUGUCGGGAUUGAGGUCGGGGGAAAGACCUGACAGCGCAACCGCACACAAAGCCAUAAAGCCUGAUGUAGCGGCCUCUCAUCGAGCAUUUGCAGCCGAGGAAGAAUAACUGUGCCGGUGUCUGCAGACCUGUUGAAUUAAAGGGGGCAUUAACUGCUGCUUCCUCUGCAUUAUUGAUGGAGGGCUCCAUUCCUGAGACCGUAAUGCCUCCUAUUUUUCCCUUCGCAAUUUUCUGGUAGACGUCUCGCUGUCUUCAAACACACUUCCGUGGUGAAAGCGAGCGAGAGUUCAGGCAGAGUGCUCCUCUGCUCCCUGCAGGUUGCUGUUAUUUUAAGCUGAACCGCCACAAUCAACGUGGAGCCAUGAAGCCCCCGCAACUCUUGUUCCCUGGGCGAAGUGAAAGUAAUCACAGGAUGACAAGCAUGGCACGAUGAGCGUUAUGCACGAUGCCACCUACAAUCACAAGGCCGGAAAAGGCGGUGAAGUUUCUUCUGCGAGGUGCCAGAUCGCAUGACGCCUCAAACACAGUGGAUGUGUGUUUGUCCCUGUGGUGUGACCUCAGAGAGCCAAAACCCAGGACUUUAUUAGAUUCUGAUGCCAGCUCGCUAACCAGGAUUACCUUAUGAGUCACCUCAGCUGCCACCCACAGUACAUUUGUUGAACGGAGGCUCACACUGCUGCCUUUAUCUGCUCUCACACAGCUUGAGACACCUUACCUCACGGCUGACCUCAUCCUGUCACAUGAUUCAAUGAGUGGAGCCGUGUCACAAACCACAGUGUCGGGGCUUUGACAGGAUAGGUCUAUACAGUGCACUAAAGAUUAAUGAGGUCAUCUCCUUCACAGGGUGUGCAACAGACACGGCGACAGGAAGAAGGAAAUCUCAUGACUUUGUGGAUCAUAUUAUAUAAAUGACACGCAAACAGAAUCAAAAUAACAGCUUCUCUAUUCAUAGUCACCUAUGUGGCGGGACGUGAAGCCCCUCCGGUCUUCAUAUCUACUUUGAAUUUUGAUAAUGGGCUGACGUUUUUUUUUUUUCGUAUUUUGUCCGCAGGGCUUUGUGUGCUCUGCCCUUUUGAUUCUGUCUGCAUGUGUGUGUUUUCAUGUGUGGGCUUUCUAUGAGGUAGAUGGCUUUGACUUUAUGAUGAUAACGCUCUCUGAGGGUGGUCCAGAAUCAAUCAAACCCAAAUCCAAAUGCUUGCCUCCCUUCUCUACAGGCUAUUUCAAAGGUUGGUAUUGAUUAUUCCACCCGUCCCUGCCUUUUGGAUGGAGGGGGGGCAGACAAAAGAGACUGCUUGAGAAAUGGAGAGAUGAUAAUGUAAUUACAGGGGGGAAGCCUUUGUAGACUGGACAGUAAUGCUUGAGGAGAGUGGAAGUUGAAUGUCAGACAAAAACAUGCUAUCAUAAACUCAGUGAGUGGUCAGGAGCCUAAUUCCUGUUCUAUUAGU